Molecule: non-coding RNA, 480 nt
Organism: Castor canadensis (American beaver)
Lineage: Eukaryota; Metazoa; Chordata; Mammalia; Rodentia; Castoridae
Source: the annotation of a RefSeq genome assembly
AUGGAGUUGAGGCUGACCUGGGUUUUCCUUGUUGCUAUAUUAAAAGGUUUCCAGUGUGAGGUGCAGCUGGUGGAGUCUGGGGGAGGCUUGGGGAAGCCUGGUGGGUCCCUGAAACUCUCCUGUGCAGCCUCUGGAUUCACAUUCGAUGAUUACUACAUGAGCUGGUUCCGCCAGGCUCCAAGAAAGGGGCUGGAGUGGCUCUCAUACAUUAAUUGGAGUGGUGGUAGCACAACUUAUGCAGACUCCGUGAAGGGCAGAGUCACCAUCUCCAGAGACAAUAACAAGAACACACUGUAUCUGCAAAUGAACAGUCUGAGAGCAGACGACACUGCCACGUAUUACUGUGCAAAAGACACCGUGUGUGAACUUCAGUGUAUCCAGUGUGAGAUCCAGCUGUUAGAGUCUGGAGGAGGCUUGGUGCCACCUAGGGGUGGGAUCCCUGAGACUCUCCUGUGCAGCCUCAGGAUUCACCUUCAGUAA